AGGACGAACGCUGGCGGCGUGCUUAACACAUGCAAGUCGAGCGGUAAGGCCUUUCGGGGUACACGAGCGGCGAACGGGUGAGUAACACGUGGGUGAUCUGCCCUGCACUUCGGGAUAAGCCUGGGAAACUGGGUCUAAUACCGGAUAUGACCUCCUAUCGCAUGGUGGGUGGUGGAAAGAUUUAUCGGUGCAGGAUGGGCCCGCGGCCUAUCAGCUUGUUGGUGGGGUAAUGGCCUACCAAGGCGACGACGGGUAGCCGACCUGAGAGGGUGACCGGCCACGACUGGGACUGAGACACGGCCCAGACUCCGUACGGGAGGCAGCAGUGGGAAUAUGCACAAUGGGACAAAGCCUAGAUGCAGCGACGCCGCGUGAGGAUGACGGCUUCGGGUUGUAAACCUCUUUCGAGCGAGGACAAGCCGGCAAGGUGACCGGUACUGGACACGGUAAGAAGCCGACCGGCUAAACGUCGUAGACCGAGCG
This 483-nucleotide ribosomal RNA is filed under the name uncultured soil bacterium. RNAcentral's name for it is "bacterial SSU rRNA". It matches the Rfam family "Bacterial small subunit ribosomal RNA", at positions 26 to 516 of the family's 1533-position model. The record is from RNAcentral.